RNAcentral lists this unclassified non-coding RNA (324 nucleotides) under uncultured marine bacterium 311. RNAcentral's name for it is "partial 16S-23S ribosomal RNA intergenic spacer". The record is from RNAcentral.
CCUCCUUAAAAAAUAAUCGCUUAGGAUAGGCGUUCACACGAAUAACUUGCUUUUACCUAAAUCAUUUCUUUACAGAUUUGAGAUUAAGGAGCGUUCUUUAACAUUUUUAUAAGUUCAAUCAAGUCACAUCAUAGUGUCUUUGUUUUUUAAUUUAGAUAUGAAUGAUGUGCAAAUGUCACCAAACCCGUCAUGUUUUAGAACAUAAGUUUGGUGUACAUACUGCAAAGUAAUUUUGGCGAAUGACAAUAGAUACUUGAAGAACAUUAAUCAUUAAGUUGUUUGAUGUAAUAUGGUCAAGUAAUUAAGCGCAUACGGUGGAUGCCA